CCAAGAUGCUGUUAGAGAAAGCGGAGGCAAAAAACUACUAUUGCGAAUAAAUCCAGUUUGCUGAUGGCACCGAUCAACAUUUUAGGAGCAUAUACAAGGACCGGUAGAAUUCACCGAGAGAAAACUCUCGGAGAAACCAAUGUGAACUGCUUGUCGUGGCCAAAUAACGUUGAAUUCAAAAAUAAAAUUUCUAGUGUCGACGUGCUAUCCCGGAGCUAUUCACGCUCAAGGUAUCUGGCUGCAGUCACCUCCGUGUUAAAGAAAUCAUUUCGACUCGAGAUUCAAACCAGGAAACAUCUGUGGGUCUGCGCGUGUUCCACUUCUUGCCUGUAGUCUGCAACAUCAAAAUGGUGAAGGUCUUGUCAUUUUUCCUGCUCAUGGCGGUCUUGUCAAUGACAACCGAGUCCACUCGAACCUGGAAGGAAGGCGACAACGGUUUGGUUCGCUGGGACUUGGAUUGUGCAUUUAAAGGCAGUGAAAUCAUCGCCAAGAAGGACAUCCCUGGCGACCAUUGCGGAAGAUUCUGCUUGGUCAACGACGCGCCCAGCAAAAAGUGCACCCAUUUUACUUACAAGAGUGGAACCUGUUACCUGUAUCACUCCACCAUUAAUUGGCUGGUAGAAAGUGAAUAUCUAAGCGCUUGCGGUUUCAUCCCCGAUCGCACCGCGCAGAAAAUUGACUGAAAAAACGGACGCAAUCGAUAUGAAUUUUGGCAAUGAAGAACCACUACUUGAGAAAAAAAACAAUUACCGUUCCAAAUAUUUCGAUUAAUAGCCGAGGAUAUACUGUAAUAUGUUCGGCAUCACAUUGGUAAAUACAUAUUAUGAGCAAGGUU
This is an RNA transcript of Daphnia pulicaria, 835 nucleotides long. RefSeq lists it as uncharacterized. The record is from RefSeq and is a predicted model, not a curated record. The transcript is spliced from 3 exons. Lineage: Eukaryota; Metazoa; Arthropoda; Branchiopoda; Diplostraca; Daphniidae.